RNAcentral lists this ribosomal RNA (253 nucleotides) under uncultured bacterium. RNAcentral's name for it is "partial 16S ribosomal RNA". It matches the Rfam family "Bacterial small subunit ribosomal RNA", at positions 524 to 776 of the family's 1533-position model. The record is from RNAcentral.
GACGUAGGGGGCAAGCGUUGUCCGGAGUUACUGGGCGUAAAGAGCUCGUAGGCGGCUUUUUAAGUCGGGUGUGAAAGCCCUCGGCUCAACCGAGGAAUUGCAUUCGAUACUGAGAGGCUAGAGUCUGGUAGAGGAAAGCGGAAUUCCCGGUGUAGCGGUGAAAUGCGCAGAUAUCGGGAAGAACACCGGUGGCGAAGGCGGCUUUCUGGGCCAUGACUGACGCUGAGGAGCGAAAGCUAGGGUAGCAAACAGG